GUGUAAGUAAACAACAGCCGCAAGCAAAUGAACAAAAGCCCCAAACGGUUUUACUUAAGGGAUUUUGUAAGGUCGAAAGGAUUUAUUUAAGAACAGAAUAGUUUUCUUUUUAGUUGGCCCAUAUAUGAUUGACUUUUGGAUUGUAUAACUGUGAGGUAGGGAGAUUCAAGUACAAGAAAGAGGAACCAUUAGCUGAGUGGGGUGGAUUGAGCUGGAGCAGAGGCAAGGCCAGUUUGGGGAGAGAGGAAAAAGGAGACCAGGGGUGGCAGGCUUUGGGCUGAGGGAGAAGCAGAGGAAAAGAACACAUCAGAAGAAAGGGACCUAACAGACCAGGAAGAGCCAGAGUUGGAGAAAAAGCAAAUGGCUAAUGAGACACCCACGAGAAUGCAGCUUUCAGAGAAGAAACUCAGUCGAGAUUUGCACACCCUGGACGAGGAAGAGAAGCAGAGAUGUUAUUUGGAGCUGGAUGUUAUUCCUUGCUCAAAGGGGAAAAAAAAAUUCUGUUUCAUGAAUGGAUGCCACGCAAGCACCCUUGAUCUUCAAUGAACAGGAUGUCAUGUGAUUCUGCAAACUGUUUCAGAACCAUUCACGCUUCCGUCUAGAAUGUUCCCAGAGAGGGAAAAAAAAAAAAAAACAGUGCAGGGUGGAGGUUCCUGAGAAAUCCCCGACUUAGCACAAGUUCAUUUUUGUGAUGGGUUUAGAAAUCCAGUUAAUCUUUAAGUCAUUUCCAAGGCAGAACUGUAAUUUUGUCUAUUAAAAAUAUAGAAAAACAAAACAAGACAAAACCACUCCCUCUGUCCCUCAAAAUGUGUUUAUAAACGGCAUCAUGUGAAAAUCCAACUUGGAAAGAAUUCGAGUUUGACUUUAAACUGUUUGUUCACAAGCUCAUGGUUCUUGGAUUCAUUAACUCUUAUUUAUAAACUUAAGGUUGUUUUGGAACAGGAAGCAUAACAUUUACUAAAAAGAACAUUGAAAUGUAUUUGUCUUUUUAAUUAAAAAAAUACUAAGAAAUGAAGUCUG
Bos taurus (domestic cattle) is the source of this 1020-nucleotide long non-coding RNA. NCBI's taxonomy places the organism in Eukaryota, Metazoa, Chordata, Mammalia, Artiodactyla, Bovidae. The record is from Ensembl.